AUGUCAGCGCGGGACCGGGAGACGAUCGAGGCGCUCGCGCGCGUCGCGGCCGCGCUGGACGGGGCGGUGCUCGGCCUCGGCACGGCGGCGCUCGCGGCCGCGUCCCUGGCCAAGUACCUCGCCGCAUCCGGGGCGCUCCGCCUCAUCGCCGAGGCGCCGGCCCUGGCGAUCCCCGACCUCCGCUACUCCCUCCUCGCGGGGCUCGGCGACGGCGAGUCGCGCCUCGCCGUCGUGCGGGGCCUCGUCCGCUCCCCGCCCGGGGGCACGUUCCUCAUCCCCCCUGGCUCCCGCGAGCACUGCGUCGUCACCAGGCACACCCAGACGUGCUUGUUCGGCGAAUGGAGAGGCAUCUUUGGAUGGACUUUUGACCUACAUGCUCUCUUUUUUAAAUCAUUGAAAGAGCAAAUUAUAACAUCAUCUCGAUGGGUUCCGUUUGGUCUUGUGGAUCCUGCUUCCGAGAAAUCAGGGGAAAUGGUACAUGUGAAGUUUGAUGGGGCUGUUCAUCAGUCAUUACCUCUUACAACUGUGUAUCACAAGCUUAUCCCAGUUGAGCAAAAUUCUUACACAUUGUUUCAGACUAUUGUUGGCAAUGGCUAUCCGAUUGCGUUAUUGGAUGAGGAAAAGAUUCUUCCUAUCGGAAAGGAGAUUACAGCAAUAGGCUUAUGUCGAUUAAAGAAUCGAAGUGUUGAGAUCAGCUUGUGCCCAGAGCUUCCAUAUUUCUUGUCUGACCUGACCAAGGGUGAGAUGGAAGCCGAGAUGUCCUCACGUGCUAGAUUCUUCUUCUGGGUUACUGUUGCUCUUGGAACCGUGUCAGUUGGCUUACUAGGCCAUGCCAUUUACAGGUUAUGGGAGAGAGUUAAACGGCACAGAGAGGCAAGAGAAGCUCAAGAAAGAUUUCACGAGGCUGACAAUGAAGAUGAUGCUGGAGAAAAUGGUAGCGACGACGAGCCUGGUGAAAUGGGAGAUGGGCAGCUAUGUGUCAUAUGCUUAAGGAAAAGAAGGCGGGCAGCUUUUGUUCCUUGUGGUCAUCUUGUCUGCUGUUGCAACUGCGCGAAAAGGGUGGAACUCAUGGAUGAACCAUUGUGCCCUGUGUGUAGGCAAGACAUCCAAUACAUGCUCAGGGUUUAUGACUCUUAA
This 1137-nucleotide ribosomal RNA is filed under the name Triticum aestivum (bread wheat). Its description in RNAcentral is "partial small subunit ribosomal RNA". Lineage: Eukaryota; Viridiplantae; Streptophyta; Magnoliopsida; Poales; Poaceae. The record is from RNAcentral.